This 72-nucleotide transfer RNA is filed under the name Saccoglossus kowalevskii. RNAcentral describes it as "tRNA-Pro". It matches the Rfam family "tRNA". From Rfam's summary of the family: Transfer RNA (tRNA) molecules are approximately 80 nucleotides in length. Their secondary structure includes four short double-helical elements and three loops (D, anti-codon, and T loops). Lineage: Eukaryota; Metazoa; Hemichordata; Enteropneusta; Harrimaniidae. The record is from RNAcentral.
GGCUCGUUGGUCUAGGAGUAUGAUUCUCGCUUUGGGUGCGAGAGGCCUCGGGUUCAAAUCCCGGACGAGCCC